Molecule: long non-coding RNA, 491 nt
Organism: Malaya genurostris
Lineage: Eukaryota; Metazoa; Arthropoda; Insecta; Diptera; Culicidae
Exons: 3
Source: RefSeq, a predicted model, not a curated record
CAAAAUUUACUUUUAAAACAACCCAUUAUAUUUUGCUGGCAACGUUGCCGAGCAACAACGAAUUUUUUGUUCACUUUUACCAGAUAUCUUUUUGAAUUGAAACUAGUGUUAAUCACAUGUUCACGAAAAAUAUUCUAAAAACGGUCCGAAUUGGAGUAUUUUGGCUUACAUUUCAAGCUGGGAAUACAGAUAACGGCUACGACUCCAACUCUUUGCAAAUAAUUGAGCGUCCAGAAGUGGAAACAUUAUUGCAGCCUCCAUUCUUAGCAGACCGGUCAAAAUGCAUUGCAGGGCUUAACGGAUGGCGUAAACGUAAGGGCCUUCCUCCUGUAUCAAAACCUCUCAGCAAUAUCGACCAAAAUACACCAUCAGCUAAUAGAACCAGAGGGGAGUACACGGCAAGUUUUUUGCUUCAACAAUCUGACAAAGGCCGGGCCAUCAUUCAGGCAUACGACAGGACAAAUAGUCAUCGAUGAGUUUCAAGAUAAGUU